This 444-nucleotide ribosomal RNA is filed under the name uncultured bacterium. RNAcentral describes it as "partial 16S ribosomal RNA". It matches the Rfam family "Bacterial small subunit ribosomal RNA", at positions 338 to 795 of the family's 1533-position model. The record is from RNAcentral.
CCUACGGGUGGCUGCAGUUUCGAAUCAUUCACAAUGGGCGAAAGCCUGAUGGUGCGACGCCGCGUGAGGGAUGAAGGCCUUCGGGUUGUAAACCUCUGUCACUGGGGAAGAAACGCUUAAAGUUAAUAGCUUGAAGCCUGACUUAACCCAGAGAGGAAGCAGUGGCUAACUCUGUGCCAGCAGCCGCGGUAAUACAGAGACUGUAAGCGUUAUUCGUGCGCACGGGGCGGUGUGUGUGCGCUGUGAGAGGCCGGGGCUUAACCUCGGAAUUGCGCCUAAAACUACACGGCUAGAGCAUUGGAGAGGGUAGCGGAAUUCACGGUGUAGCAGUGAAAUGCGUAGAUAUCGUGAGGAACACCAGAGGCGAAGGCGGCUACCUGGACAAUUGCUGACGCUCAGGCACGAAAGCGUGGGGAGCAAAAGGGAUUAGAUACCCCAGUAGUC